This 144-nucleotide non-coding RNA is filed under the name Chlorocebus sabaeus (green monkey). Lineage: Eukaryota; Metazoa; Chordata; Mammalia; Primates; Cercopithecidae. The record is from Rfam by way of RNAcentral.
GCUGGGCGAGGUGGCGGGCGCCUGUAGUCCCAGCUACUCGGGAGGCUGAGGCAGGAGAAUGGCGUGAACCUGGGAGGCAGAGCUUGCAGUGAGCCGCUCACUGCAAGCUCUGCCUCCCAGGUUCACGCCAUUCUCCUGCCUCAG